GAUGAACGCUGACAGAAUGCUUAACACAUGCAAGUCGAUGGGGAAGUGGUGCUUGCACCAUGGUAACCAUGGCGGACGGGUGAGUAACGCGUAAGGAACUUGCCUGCGGGACUGGGAUAACAGCAGGAAACUGCUGAUAAUACCGGAUAAGGUCAUUAAGCUGCAUAGCUUAGUGAUGAAAGGAGACGCCUGCGGAGAGCCUUGCGUCCUAUUAGCUAGUUGAGGGGUAACGGCCCACCAAGGCGAAGAUAGGUAGCCGGCCUGAGAGGGUGGACGGCCACAAGGGGACUGAGAUACGGCCCUUACUCCUACGGGAGGCAGCAGUGGGGAAUAUUGGACAAUGGGGGCAACCCUGAUCCAGCAAUUCUGUGUGCACGAAGACGGUUUUCGGAUUGUAAAGUGCUUUCAGCAGGGAAGAAGGAAGUGACGGUACCUGCAGAAGAAGCGACGGCUAAAUACGUG
RNAcentral lists this ribosomal RNA (462 nucleotides) under uncultured bacterium. Its description in RNAcentral is "partial 16S ribosomal RNA". It matches the Rfam family "Bacterial small subunit ribosomal RNA", at positions 28 to 507 of the family's 1533-position model. The record is from RNAcentral.